AAAAAAAAAAAAACAAGGUCCAAUUUGUUCUUUGUAAUUGGGAAUGAUGGGUGACGUAAAAUCUCACCAGAGUAACAAUUGGGAGGGCAGGUCGGGUGCCAGCAGCCGCGGUAAUUCCAGCUCCAAUAGCGUAUAUUAAACUUGUUGCAAUUAAAAAGCUCGUAUUUGAUUUUCUGCGUUGCCCGACUCGGCUACUUGCCUUGUCUGGUUUCUUUUUUGGGUUUUUCCCUUUUUUACUUUGAAAAAAUUAGAGUGUUUCAAGCAUACUUGUGUCUUGAAUACUUCAGCAUGAAAAAAUAAAGUAGGACUUUGGUUCUUUUUUGUUGGUUUGUGAACCUUAAUAAUGGUUAAAAGGAACGGUUGGGGGCAUUCUUAUUUAACUGUCAGAGGUGAAAUUCUUAAAUUUGUAAAAGACAAACUACUGCAAAAUUUUUUGCCAAGGACUUUUUCAUUAAUCAAGAACGAAAGUGGGGGGAUCAAAGACAACCACAUACCGUCGUAGUCCUAACCAUAAACCAUGCCGACUAGGGAUUGGAGGUCGUCAUUUUUCCACUCCUUCAGCACCAU
This 567-nucleotide ribosomal RNA is filed under the name Babesia gibsoni. RNAcentral's name for it is "partial small subunit ribosomal RNA". It matches the Rfam family "Eukaryotic small subunit ribosomal RNA", at positions 473 to 1089 of the family's 1831-position model. The record is from RNAcentral. Lineage: Eukaryota; Apicomplexa; Aconoidasida; Piroplasmida; Babesiidae.